CUUUGCCAAGGGCCCCAGCACUCGUGGCUCUUUGCAUUUGCCCAAAGGAGCUAAAAGCUCUUGCCCCUCAAAAGCCAACACAGGGACGUUGAUAAGCCCUUCACUCAGAAUCACCAGGAACACACAAGAUGUCCCUCAGGACGGGAGUGAGCACAUCUGCUGUGCUGCACCAGGCCAUGGAGUGCUACUUGGCACCCAGAAGAAACGGCUGGGGAGCCAUGGAGAGGCCUGGGGGAGUCUCAGAUGCGCACUUGCACCCAGAAGAAGCCGGUCUGCACAGGCUGCACACCGUGUGACUCAUCUGGGUGACCUUCUGGAGAAGGAAAGCCAUGGAGACAGGAGACCAGCGGUUGCCAGAGCAUGGGAGGAGCAAGGGAUGGACAGGAGGCAAUGAAAUAACACCCACUCCCUGGUUGGUGUAAGGACAGAGUGACAUGAUUCCAGCAAAGCUGUGCCUGACCCUUGGAGGAAGAACUUGGAGUUUCCACCCUUGAUCCUUCAGACCCACCACACCCAGCUCCUUCUCCUUCCUUCGAGUGCCCCCUCAUCCACCCCGCCUCUCCCUUGCGGUCAGCUCCAGGUGAUGACUUCUUGCCCGCAUGACGUGGAUAUGGACUAUUUCCAACUGGACUCCACGAGGGGAAGGAGGAGGCCUCCUUGCUUACUUCUUUGUCCUCAGACCCAGGAGUCUGGCACGUGUCAGAUGCAGAGUAACUGGGACCCGACCCCAUGAAUAAAUCUAUAAAUGAGCCCUC
Molecule: long non-coding RNA, 755 nt
Organism: Marmota monax (woodchuck)
Lineage: Eukaryota; Metazoa; Chordata; Mammalia; Rodentia; Sciuridae
Exons: 3
Source: RefSeq, a predicted model, not a curated record